GCUAUGUGUUGGUCUGAUCAUAUGAAAAAUGUGGCAGAAAGAGAACUAUCCUACGUAUCUAGGUAGGCUUUCUCAUCGGCCACCUAGAAAUAAGAUUCUGAUGCCCCAAAUAUGGCACAGAAGUUGCAGAGCUGUGCUAAGCAGCACAAUGGACCACUCUGCUAUAAAACAAGAUGGGUGGACAAUUGAUAUCCAGAGGGGCCCACCUUGAUCCUGGGUGCUGAAACUUUGGCCCAACUGGUGAGAGGUAGGAGUUGGAAUGGGUCCUAGACUUAGGAAGCAAAACUCCCCCCAAAAACUACAUUUGAUUGCUGGCAAGAUGGCUGAAUAGGAACAGCUCUGGUCUGCAGCUCCCAGAGAGAUCGCGCAGAAGUGUAAACAAAGCCACGGGGAAGUUUGAACUGGGCGGAGUCCACCACAGCUCAGCAAGUCCGCUGCAGCCAGACUGACUCUCUAGACAGGGCAUCUCUGAAAAAACGACAGCAGCCCCAGUCAGGGACUUACAGAUAAAACCCUCAUCUCCCUGGGACAGAGCACCUGGGGGAAGGGGCGGCUGUGGGCACAGCUUCAGCGGACUUAAGCUCUACUGCCUGACAGCUCUUAAGAGAGCAGCGGAUCUCCCAGCACAGCGUUCAAGCUCUGGUAAGGGACAGGCUGCCUCCUCAAAUGGAGCCCUGACCCCUGUGUAUCCUGACUGGGAGACACCUCCCAGUAGGGGCCGACAGACACCUCAUACAGGAGAGCUCUUGCUGGCAUCUGGCAGGUGCCCCUCUGGGAUGAAGCUUCCAGAGGACGGAACAGGCAGCAAUCUUUGCUGUUCUGCAGCUCCGCUGGUGAUACCCAGGAAAACAGGGUCUGGAGUGGACCUCCAGCAAACUCCAGCAGACCUGCAGAAGAGGAGCCUGUUAGAAGGAAAACUAACUAACAGAAAGAAAUAGUAGCAACAUCGACAAAAAGGACGUCCACUCAGAAAUCCCAUCUGAAUGUCACCAACAUCAAAGACCAAAGCUAGAAAAAUCCACAAAGAUAGGGAGAAACCAGCGCUAAAAGGCUGAAAACUCCAAAAAUCAGAAGGCCUCUUCUCCUCCAAAGGAUCACAACUCCUCGCCAGCAAGGGAACAAAACUGGUGGAGAAUGAGUUUGACGAAUUGACAGUAGUAGCUUCAGAAGGUGGGUAAUAACAAACUCCUCUGAGCUGAAGAAGCAUGUUCUAACCCAAUGCAAAGAAGCUAAGAACGUUGAAAAAAAGUUAGAGGAAUUGCUAACUAGAAUAACAAGUUUAGAGAAGAACAUAAAUGAUCUGAUGGAGCUGAAAAACACAGCCAAGAACUUCGGGAAGCAUACACAAGUAUCAACAGCCAAAUCGAUCAAGCGGAAGAAAGCAUAUCAGAGAUUGAAGAUCAACUCAAUGAAAUAACACAAGAAGGCAAGAGUAGAGAAAAAAGAGUGAAAAGAAAUGAACAAAGCCUCCAAGAGAUAUGGGACUAUAUAUGAAAAGAUCAAAUCUACUUUUGAUUGGUGUACCUGAAAGUGACGGGGAGAAUGGAACCAAGGUGGAAAACACACUUCAGGAUAUUAUCCAGGAGAACUUCCCCAACCUAACAAGGCAGGCCAACAUACAAAUUCAGGAAAUACAGAGAACAACACAAAGAUAUUCCUCGAGAAGAGCAACCCCAAGACACAUAAUCGUCAGAUUCACCAAGGUUGAAAUGAAGGAAAAAAUGUUAAGUGCAUCCAGAGAGAAAGGCUGGGUUCAUAACCCUUAAAGAUAGAAACAUUUCCCCUCUGUAGGUGGCUCCUAAAACCCUGGACAUUUUACAUACUGGAGUCAGAUUCAAAAAUAAACUAUUUCCUUAUAUACCUGCCUCCUUUUUGAAAUAACGUUCCUUAUUUUUCUUAUCACCAGAUAUGGUUGCUGUUUUUUUCCCUCAAUUUGAUCAUUUGUUUUCCCUCUGGGACAUAAAAGUUGUGAUGAGGACUGGAAGUGGGAUCUAUAAACUGACUAGCACAGAGCCUAGCACUUG
RNAcentral lists this long non-coding RNA (2024 nucleotides) under Homo sapiens (human). Its description in RNAcentral is "HSALNT0092646". The record is from RNAcentral. Lineage: Eukaryota; Metazoa; Chordata; Mammalia; Primates; Hominidae.